RNAcentral lists this ribosomal RNA (403 nucleotides) under uncultured bacterium. Its description in RNAcentral is "partial 16S ribosomal RNA". It matches the Rfam family "Bacterial small subunit ribosomal RNA", at positions 30 to 526 of the family's 1533-position model. The record is from RNAcentral.
AUUGAACGCUGGCGGCAGGCCUAACACAUGCAAGUCGAGCGAGCGGCGGACGGGGGAGUAAUGUAUGGGGACUGCCCGAUAGAGGGGGAUCACUACUGGAAACGGUAGCUAAUACCGCAUACUAUCGGAGAACGCAGAUGGGGUUAGCUAGUAGGUGUGGUAAGGGCUCACCUAGGCGACGAUCCCUAGCUGGUCUGAGAGGAUGAUCAGCCACACUGGGACUGAGACACGGCCCAGCCUCCUACGGAGGCAGCAGUGGGGAAUAUUGCACAAUGGGCGCAAGCCUGAUGCAGCCAUGCCGCGUGUAUGAAGAAGGCCUUCGGGUUGUAAAGUACUUUCAGUCGGGAGGCGUUACCGACAGAAGAAGCACCGGCUAACUCCGUGCCAGCAGCCGCGGUAAUAC